UACGUAGGGGGCUAGCGUUGCUCGGAAUCACUGGGCGUAAAGCGCACGUAGGCGGAUUGUUAAGUCAGGGGUGAAAUCCUGGAGCUCAACUCCAGAACUGCCUUUGAUACUGGCGAUCUUGAGUCCGGGAGAGGUGAGUGGAACUGCGAGUGUAGAGGUGAAAUUCGUAGAUAUUCGCAAGAACACCAGUGGCGAAGGCGGCUCACUGGCCCGGUACUGACGCUGAGGUGCGAAAGCGUGGGGAGCAAACAGG
RNAcentral lists this ribosomal RNA (253 nucleotides) under uncultured bacterium. RNAcentral's name for it is "partial 16S ribosomal RNA". It matches the Rfam family "Bacterial small subunit ribosomal RNA", at positions 524 to 776 of the family's 1533-position model. The record is from RNAcentral.